Molecule: small nuclear RNA, 24 nt
Filed under: Arabidopsis thaliana (thale cress)
Lineage: Eukaryota; Viridiplantae; Streptophyta; Magnoliopsida; Brassicales; Brassicaceae
Description: snRNA_16838
Source: RNAcentral
UGGCCUGUAAUUUACCCUAGUAUU